UACAGAGGGUGCGAGCGUUAAUCGGAAUUACUGGGCGUAAAGCGUGCGUAGACGGCUAUCUAAGACGGGUGUGAAAGCCCCGGGCUCAACCUGGGAAUUGCAUUCGAGACUGAAUAGCUAGGGUACGGUAGAGGGAAGUGGAAUUUCCGGUGUAGCGGUGAAAUGCGUAGAUAUCGGAAGGAACAUCAGUGGCGAAAGCGACUUCCUGGACCAGUACCGACGUUCAGGCACGAAAGCGUGGGGAGCAAACAGG
This 253-nucleotide ribosomal RNA is filed under the name uncultured bacterium. Its description in RNAcentral is "partial 16S ribosomal RNA". It matches the Rfam family "Bacterial small subunit ribosomal RNA", at positions 524 to 776 of the family's 1533-position model. The record is from RNAcentral.